GGAUGUGAGGGCGACCUGGCGUCAGCAUCUGUCACCCCAUUGAUUGCCAGGGUUGAUUCAGCUGAUCUGGCUGGCUAGGCGGGUGACCCCUUCUUUCCUCACUGCUCCAUGUGCGUCCCUCCUGAAGCUGCGCGCUCGGUCAAAGAGGACGGCCUUCCCCGAAUGGAGACUGGUUUUCGGUCGAGGGUAUACGAGUAGAGUAGCUGCGCUCCCCUGCUAGAACCUCCAAACAAGCUCUCAAGGACCUGAACCAAUUUGGUUAUUUAUAAGUUUUAGAUUCUUUCUGCUUGGUAUUGGGUACUACUUAUAGUUCCGGACAGUAGUAUUCAGUUUUC
Unclassified non-coding RNA from Erinaceus europaeus (western European hedgehog), 335 nucleotides. Its record names the gene 7SK. It matches the Rfam family "7SK RNA". Rfam says of the family: 7SK was discovered as an abundant small nuclear RNA in the mid-70s but a possible function has only recently been suggested. The record is from Ensembl. Lineage: Eukaryota; Metazoa; Chordata; Mammalia; Eulipotyphla; Erinaceidae.